UUGAUGCAGCUCCAGAUAUGUUUCCAGACGAGAACAGGGAAUUUCCUUCAAGCUUGACCACCAGUGCUGCUGCCUGCUUGAUAUGGAGGUCCUCCUUUGGCAUACUCUUUUCCCACUUCAAUCUCUGUCUUGAAUUUAAUAGUUCCUCAAUCUGUUCCUUUGUGCGAUUACUCAAAGCGUUCCGCCCCGUCCCUUGUGAUUGGAUACAUUCCUGAAGAACAUUAACGAUGGAAUCCCCAAGCUUUUUGUGAUCUCCCAGAGUUGAGAUCUCUGAGAGGUCUACCAGUGCACCUACAGCCUUGUCAAUCACCUAUGAAAUAGGAUGGGAAGCAUUAGGUACAUAACAGCACAGUUCAUAUUCAAAAACCCAAAACGGUUACAACUGAUGAGUAAUGAAAUAAUAAAAAUGUCUAGGAAACAUAAUUUGAGGCAUUUAAGUAUAAGUUGCCCUCUGGCAAAGAGUUGCUCCAACUAGUCACCACAUAUAAUUAUUUAACAGGAUGGUAUUCAUAUCGGUUGAAAUUUGAACCUUUAUGAACUUAUUCCUUUCAAAAUGAAAGCAAAACAAUGUAAUGGCAAAGCAAAGGAAAAUUAUAUCGCUUUAGAAGUGAUGUGCCCCUGGCACAGGCUAGUUCAGCAUACAAUCAAUUUAAAAGGAUUGUCAACAGCAAUUGACUAUUUUAGCAGUACAAGACAUAUGAGGUUUUUUUUAUUUAUUUAUUAUUUAAUAUUGCUGUAAAUGUCUAAUUUUUGGUAGCUUUCUAGAUUUUAAAACUGAAAGUUAAUGCCUAAUCUAUAUUACUUCAUGGAGAAAAUGCAGGCUUUGAUUUUAAAGGGUGUUGACAAGGAAAUUUUUACCCCUUUUCUCCUAAAAGGAAUAAUGAUACAACUGUCACAAAUUGUAAAGAAAGAUUCAAAAAUAUAAACCACUAUAUUAAAAUCUCUAUGACACAGGAAACAUACAAUCACAAAUCUACAACUUGCUCCCAUAAACAGGGGGUAUAGCUAGGCUAUUGGACUGUAAAAUCUGUAAGGGGAGGUAGGGAUCGAUUGGUUAUAAAUAACCCUCAUUUUUCAUGCCAAAAACUUGACCUCUUCAUGUUUCAAAAACAUAAUGCAAAAAGUUUUCUUCCAAAUUCAUAAGAAAAAAUUUCUACCAUAAGGAUGAAAAACAUAACAGUAUAAAUGGAAACAUUACCAAUUAAAUACUUGACUUAUUAACACUGAUCUUCCACCAGAAAAUGAGUGUCAUGGACACAAAAGGUACCAAAAUACAUUGCAUAGAGAAAGGAGGACCAAGCAAUGCAAGGUGCUACUUAUAGUGGAGAGCUUCAGUGUACGCAUUUAUCCUAGGUAGUUUUUGCAUGUAAACCAGUGUUUUAAAAUGCUAUUUGUAAUUGGUUAUUGAGGCAUAUGCCUUGAGGUGAGGCUACACAUAUUAGCUUCAAGGCUAUAUCCUUAGUACAAGGUAACUAAGCAAAGCCUCACCUUGUUGAGGCUUACAGCCUUUGAAGCUAUCUUCAAGGCUAUUGAGGUUUAAGCCCCAAAUAUCCAAUGGGUUUAAUGCCGUUGUGGGAUUUUCGAAAUUUAAGCCUCAAUAUUCAAUGGUUUUAAUGGGUUUUUGCUUUUAUGGGGUUUUUGGAUAGUUUUUAUAAGUUUUGUGUAAUAGAGCAAUCACAUAUGAUUAUAAUUCCUUGGAGGAUCUGAAUAGUGAUAAUGAUGAUAUUGUUGAAGAUUAUUUGAUGAAACCAUGAGAGAGAGUUGGAUUUUGAAAGAGAAACUAAAUUAGAAACUACUAACAAUGACAAACAAUUUUGAUUUGGUUAUUGUGAAUUUUAUGGUUUUCCUACUAUUCAAUUUUCAUGCGAUUUUAUCAGUACUUUUUUUAAUGUUUCCUUUUUUUUUUUUUUAUUUAGUUUAAACAGAGGCUUACACUUAGUUCCACCCCAAGGCUUAUGCCUCGCCUCAUUUGGACAAAAUAUCUCAAAACCGCCUUAGUACUUUAAAACAUCAGCGUAAACUUUUGGUCCUUGCUGGGACUUUAACCUAUAACCACAUCCCUACACAAAACCCUCAUCAAUCAACUUUUGUUUGGUUGGCUUACCUAAAAAAGAAAUUAUACAUAAAUGCUAGUUUAAGUGAGGAUCAUUGAAGGAGGUAGAGGUAAUUAAGGUUGAUGGUCAGUUAUAUGAAUGCAACGAUCUUCUAUGGCCUGGUUUGAUUAUUCAUAAGAAGAAGAGGUGUGGAAAAGUUGCUGGUAAAAUUAAGCAAAGGAAUAAUAAAUAGGGGAAAUGUGUUCUAUGGUUAUGGGUCCCAGUGUGUUAAGUAGUUGCUUCAUUUCAUCGAACUGGCUAAUGAGACAACAUUAAAAUGCAACAAUAAGAUGACACUGAAAAUGAGAAUCUUCAUGAAAAGACAAUGCUUGAUGAGAUAAGGAAUAACAGAUGAGAUGGCAUGCACAUGCAAAAAGAAAACCACCACUAGCACCAGUGAAAGAAAAACAAAAAACCAAGGACAGCCUUUUAAACAUACACUUAAAAGGAAUAAAAAUGUUAUGGAUCAACCAAAAAGGAAAAAAGGAAGUUUCUAGAAUAUUGUCUUUAACAAAAAAUUGAUAGAAUGGGAUAGACUCAUAGAAGAAGGAAAAAAAUGCUUCAAAUUUUCAAAUAAGGCACUACAAAGAAUAAAUUGAAAAACCGAUUAAGUACUUCAGCAUGUUUUCUUCUUUCCACUCUUGACUUUUAAUUUACACAGUCGAAAAUAGUUGACCAACUCAGAAAAGCAAGAAACAACUAAAUGUUCUUAAGUCAGAGGCCAAGUGGAUUCCACUCUGAAAUACAAAGACUUUUAAUUUAUGCACAAAAUCAACAUUAAAG
Molecule: long non-coding RNA, 2876 nt
Filed under: Vitis vinifera (wine grape)
Lineage: Eukaryota; Viridiplantae; Streptophyta; Magnoliopsida; Vitales; Vitaceae
Description: long non-coding RNA (VVIN_LNC008176)
Source: RNAcentral